This is a long non-coding RNA of Strigops habroptila (Kakapo), 4579 nucleotides long. The record is from Ensembl. Lineage: Eukaryota; Metazoa; Chordata; Aves; Psittaciformes; Psittacidae.
ACUCACAAGUUUCUAGUUUUAUUUUAACAAUCUUGCUUUUUAAAAAAUACAAGUUCUGAUUAAUGCCAGGGGGAUGCCAAGUGUCCACUGGCCACAGGCCUUCUCUCACUUCAGUUUCUCCUCCUGGGAGUAGUCGUCUCUUUUGUCAGGAUAGCAAACGGAGCAAUAAAAUGCUAAAUGGCUGAGUUGUGUUAAAAGGCUUGUAACAGAAUCCCAAGGGGCAUUAUGGCACAACAUCAUUUGGCAAAGUGUUACUGACCUGGAGCAGUAAUUUUAAUGCUGGCAGAAUAAAUGGUUGGUGUGCAAGGUGCAUCAGGUGAGGUAUUGUUUGCACUUUAACGGUACCACUGUCACUCUUUUCUGCAAACGGAUCUAUUAUGAGGUGAAAGGUUUAAAUAGAAACAAGAGCUCAAUUACCAAAGAGAAGGGUAUUCAAAAGGAGAAGCAGGUUUAUAAACAAGACAUUGAAGAGCUUUAAAUGUGUUUCUCUGUAGUAAGUAAUUAAGUGGCAGCAGAGCUGCCCUUUUAGUUGCAAGGGGACUUCUGUGCAGCCAGCUAUUACGAGAGCUUUAUACUCUCCAAACAGCACAUUCACUAACAACCUAGAAACCAUGGCACUACAAAGAACUGCUUUUUCUACAAAGGAAUUCUGUGCAACAGAAGCAUCAUUUUGCAGGGUCAUCUGUCCCAGGCAACCUUUGCAUCCACGGACAAGUCUGAAUUGUGAUUUCCCUGUCACUGGUUUGCAUAUGCCAUGGCUAGAUAAACUUCAAAUAUGCCAUUUUCUCAAUAAUGUCCUAACUGGAAAAAGGCACUCACUUGAAACAGCAACUUUGUUAUGUGCUUUGAAAGGGUACUGAGCUGAGACUCAAUAAUUCUGCUGUGAUUCUUGUAGUGUCUCAACGGUGCUUACACUUCAGUGUGUUAGGGAUUAGCAAUUUGGUGCUAUCAUGACCUCAGCCAUAGGUGCAGCAAAACAUAGUUGAGGGUGAAUAGCUUUUUAUUUCCUUCACCUUGUUUGUGGCAAAGUUGUUUAGCUGGUUUUUUGGUUUUGGGGUUUUUUCCUUCAGCUGUUUGACUGAAGCAUGGAGUACUUCUGGGUACAGGUAUCAUCUUAUUCUCUCCUGAAUAACACUGUAGUUCUUGCUGAGCUUUUACUAUCUGAACGCUGAAAAAGGAAGGUGCAAGGAAACAUAUCUGUACAAGCAAAAUCUACCUGUAAGUACACCUCCUUCCGUCAGGAACUUAGCAUCCCCUCGACACAUCUCACAUCACAUAGGAAAAGUUCACAGUACCAAGUUUUACAAUCACAGUCACUCACAGCACCAAGAUUGUCCAGACAAAAAGAAGUUACCGAAGAGAAAGGCCACUGGCCAAAAUUCACACAAUUGCCCAUGUAAGGGCUCAGGUUAAAAAUAAAGCACUGGUGGGAAAGUUAAGCCUGGCCUUUGCCAACUCUCCACUUGGCACGGGGAGAGCAGCGAGUCACCUGUCCUAUAGCUGCAGCUCUGAACAGAACAGCUCUAUUGCCCCAGCUUUCCAAGGGGCUUUUCUAGCUCCUCCAAACUCAUCAGCCACCAAGAGCUGGGGGAGAAGAGGCCCAUGGCACCCCCACUUCUGCCUGUGGGAGCUGGAAGUCACCAGACUGUAAACAUUUUGUUGUAGCAGUCCACUGGAGCAGGCAGUUGAUUCCACCCUGUGAAAUGGGAAGUGGGAUAGAGGCUCAGUCCCACUGAAGCCCAAGCCCUGAAGGAAAGAAUGGAUGUGUGUGCAGGAGAGGUCUGGGCUGUGCCUGCAGUCCUGCUGUUGGCUCGGGGUAGCAGUUGGUUGUGCUUCACUUCCCCUUUCCGUCAGGACAGCUCAAAAAAAGGCUCAGGAUGUGAAACUGGCAUUUUCCCAAUGAAUGCAGCCUUGCCCAGAUAACAAAAUAUAAACCUGGGAGGGGCAAAGUCCUUCCUCCAAAUGUGGCCUCUGUGCUCCUGCUUCCAUUGGGCUGGUUUCAGGAGCAGCUGUAGCCAGACAGAAGAGCAGGCCUUAACCUCCACCGAAUGUUCAUGGAGCUUAAAAACAAAGAUAACCAUAUUUUUAUGAGAGAUUACUAACAAUUAACUUUUACCCCACCUACUCUUACCCACAUGCACAUGGAGAACAGGAUGCUGGUACAUGGGCUAUCACCAAAGCUCGGGUGCCCUUGCUUUCUGUGCUGAAAAGUGAGGCUCACCAAGCCCGGUGCCCACCCCGAGCAGCACCAGCAUCCUCUGCUCUGCUGUUUGGGAUGGGGCAGUUUGCAGGCUGAGCCCUGUCUCUGUGCUCUCAUGCAGACAUGGAAGGGGGCCAGAGGAAAUCUUUCCAGCCUUCCCAGCCUAUGGAAAGGAAGACCGUAUGCUCUGCAUAAAAGAAAACCAAUGCUGAUUCCAUAAACAUGCAUAUUCACAGAAAUGAGAGCCCCAGCACCUGGGUGCUUCUGGCUGAAGCGAGCAGUAGGCUGCUGUAAACCCUGUUCUCACCAGAAAUAAAUGUCUCGGUGGUAGUACUGAAAUGGAGCCUAAGCUCCUGCAUUAUGUCCAUGCUAGAUUUGCGUGUUUCUUUAGCAUGUGAAGUCAACAUAAGAUGCAAAAGGUUGAAGCACAGAGGUAGACGGUUUUGGCUUGGAGAAAGUGGCUCCUAGGUUUGAAAUGACCAGCUAGCUGGCAUGCUCCCAGAGGUCCUCCAGCUGGGAUACUCUCUGCUGCUGGGAAACAGAGGCGACAGCUUUGCAAGACCUAGUGAAACCAAAGCGUGCUUCCUUUUGCCCUGCCCGCACCCCAAAGGCACGUCUCUGCUGGGCAGGGCCCUCUCGCAUCUUGUCGUUGUGGUCAGCAGGAGUUCUUAAUGGAGGGGACAAAAUCCACCGUUUGGUCCCUGUUUGUUGUGUAGGAGGGAAAGGAAAAACUAAACUUUUAUGGUCACAAAGCAACGCGAUGUCCUGGCGGGGAGCAGGAGAGGGGGAGUGGGACCCUCCGAACAGCACGGAGGGGCAGGAGCGCUAGGAGAGGACUCGACGUGAAGGGCAGUUGUGUUUUCCAGGGACAAGCGCCAGCCGUAGGCCCGUGCAGGUAGUCGGGUUUGCGCUGAGCUUCCGCUGCUGGAUGUGUCCGCGGGAGAGGGAGGAGCGCGGGAGCCCGGCGGGGCAGCCCGCGGCCCCUUCCCCUGCUCGGCCGCGGCGGCGGGAACCUGAGCAGGACCGCAGAGACACUGCGGGGAGCCCCUCGGGGGGCGGCGGCCGGGGGGAGGCUCAGCCCUGCGCGGUGACCGCCAAGGCGUUCACGUACCCGUGGGGGCCCACGUCGGCGUCCGAGAGCCCGUGGGCCAGCGGGGCUGCGGCGGCGGGAGCGGCGGCGCCGGGGCCGUACUUGGCGGGCGGCGGGGCGGCGGCGGGGCGCAGGAGGCAGCAGGUCUCCAGCGCCUCUAGGCUGCGACAGGCCAGGAAGAACAGGUUCUUCAGCAUGAAAAGGGAGAGCGGCUGCUGGUAGCGCAGGAGCAGGAGGCAGCGGAGCGCCAGGAGCGGGGCGUCCAGCAGCCCGGCCGGCAGCAGGAGGUGGAGGGCGAGGCGGGCGGCGCCGGGGGGGCGGGCGGCGCUGAGCUCGUACAGCCACAGCACCGGCGAGGCCAGGCAGAGGAAAUAGACGGCGAUGAGAAGGUAGCGCAGCGGGGCGGGCAGCGGCGCCGGCCGCCCGGGCUGCAGCACCAGCUCCAGCAGGGAGAAGCUGUCGAGCAGGUCGAGGCAGGUGGCGAGGAAGGCGGCGGCAGCGCGGUGCUGCGGCGGCGGCUGCGGCGGCAGGAGCAGCUGCCCGGCGCCCUCGGUGCCGAUGGCCCGCAGCAGGCAGUACAGCAGCGGGGCGGAGAGCGCCAGCGUGAUGCGGAAGCCGGUGGUGCCCAGCGGCAGGCGCAGCUCGAUCAGCUCCAGGAUGGAGGUGCCCAGGAUCAGCGCCGCCUUGGGCGUGAAGGCGAUGGAGUAGAUGAGCCAGGCGAGGUGCGCGUAGGCAAAGUCGCCGCCGCGGGGAGGAACCCCGGCCCCGCGGCCCCCGGCCCCGCGCCCGCCGGGGGGACCGUGCAGCAGCAGCGGGUGCGGCGGCGGCGGGCCGGGGGGCGGCGGAGGCCGCUCUCGGCGCUCCGCCGCCGUCAUGCUGCGGCCCGGGCUCCCGCCGCCGCUGCUGCUGCUGCUGCUGCUAGGGAGCGGCGAGGCGGCGGAGGGCGGCGGGGCGGCGGGCGGCGGCACCAGAGGCUUGCUGAUGCUGAUGCUGUCCUCCUCCUCCUCUUCUUCUUCUUCCUCCUCCUCCUCGGUGCUGCUGCGGGGGCUGCGGGUGCGGCGGGCCCGCGCCGAGCCGGAGCUCGACCCCGAGCCCCGCCGGCUGCCGCCGCUGCUGGAGCCCCCCGGGAAGAGGGGCUGCCGGUCGGCGGCGUGCGGCAGCGGCGGCGGCGGCGGCGGCGGCUGGAAGGAGCCCGAGGAGGAGGAGACCGAGCGCUGGUUGGAGGCAGCGCGGUGCAUGGUCCUCCCCGGCCCCCGAGCCGGCGCGCCGGGCCCGACGGCCGCGCCGCG